UACGUGGGGUGCAAGCGUUGUCCGGAAUUAUUGGGCGUAAAGAGCUCGUAGGCGGUUUGUCGCGUCUGCUGUGAAAACUCGGGGCUUAACCCCGGGCCUGCAGUGGGUACGGGCAGACUAGAGUGCGGUAGGGGAGACUGGAAUUCCUGGUGUAGCGGUGAAGUGCGCAGAUAUCAGGAGGAACACCGGUGGCGAAGGCGGGUCUCUGGGCCGUAACUGACGCUGAGGAGCGAAAGCGUGGGGAGCGAACAGG
RNAcentral lists this ribosomal RNA (253 nucleotides) under uncultured bacterium. RNAcentral describes it as "partial 16S ribosomal RNA". It matches the Rfam family "Bacterial small subunit ribosomal RNA", at positions 524 to 776 of the family's 1533-position model. The record is from RNAcentral.